This is a long non-coding RNA of Camelus dromedarius (Arabian camel), 329 nucleotides long. RefSeq lists it as uncharacterized. The record is from RefSeq and is a predicted model, not a curated record. Lineage: Eukaryota; Metazoa; Chordata; Mammalia; Artiodactyla; Camelidae. The transcript has 3 exons.
CUGAGAAGUACUGGAACCUAAGUAAAGGGAAUUGCCCUUGGCUGGCAGGAGCCUCCUCACCUGGCAGUAGUCCUAAAGGGGGAAUGGCAGACAUUGGUGCCCUCCUCAAGGACUUAAGGGAUGGAGAGACAGUCGUUCCCACGUAGCCCCACUUCAUUCAACAGCUUGACCUCUUCAAAAACCAAACGAAUUGUGGCACAAGACAGGGACUACCUGAAACUCAGUCAAAUAGUAGCCCCAACUAAAGAUGCUUGAUUGAAGGUGAGCUCUUUAUCAGAACAGAUUAACGUACUUUGAUCUGUGCUGUACAGCCAUAACCAGCAUAUUUA